This 429-nucleotide ribosomal RNA is filed under the name Bacillota bacterium. Its description in RNAcentral is "Firmicutes bacterium partial 16S ribosomal RNA". It matches the Rfam family "Bacterial small subunit ribosomal RNA", at positions 355 to 776 of the family's 1533-position model. Lineage: Bacteria; Bacillati; Bacillota. The record is from RNAcentral.
UGGGGAAUUUUGGACAAUGGGGGCAACCCUGAUCCAGCAAUGCCGCGUGUGUGAAGAAGGCCUUCGGGUUGUAAAGCACUUUUGUCCGGAAAGAAAACUUCGGGGCUAAUACCCCUGGAGGAUGACGGUACCGGAAGAAUAAGCACCGGCUAACUAAGUGCCAGAAGCCGCGGUAAUACGUAGGGUGCGAGCGUUAAUCGGAAUUACUGGGCGUAAAGCGAGCGCAGGCGGUGCUGUAAGACCGAUGUGAAAUCCCCGGGCUUAACCUGGGAACUGCAUUGGUGACUGCAGCGCUGAAGUAUGGCAGAGGGGGGUGGAAUUCCACGUGUAGCAGUGAAAUGCUUAGAGAUGUUGAGGAACACCGAUUGCGAAGGCAGCCCCCUUGGCCAAUACUGACUCUCAUGCACGAAAGCGUGGGGAGCAAACAGG